RNAcentral lists this ribosomal RNA (252 nucleotides) under uncultured bacterium. Its description in RNAcentral is "partial 16S ribosomal RNA". It matches the Rfam family "Bacterial small subunit ribosomal RNA", at positions 525 to 776 of the family's 1533-position model. The record is from RNAcentral.
ACGGAGGGGGUUAGCGUUGUUCGGAAUUACUGGGCGUAAAGCGUACGUAGGCGGACUAAAAAGUUAGGGGUGAAAUCCCAGGGCUCAACCCUGGAACUGCCUCUAAAACUGGUAGUCUAGAGUUCGAGAGAGGUGAGUGGAAUUCCAAGUGUAGAGGUGAAAUUCGUAGAUAUUUGGAGGAACACCAGUGGCGAAGGCGGCUCACUGGCUCGAUACUGACGCUGAGGUACGAAAGUGUGGGGAGCAAACAGG